RNAcentral lists this non-coding RNA (45 nucleotides) under Schistosoma mattheei. The record is from RNAcentral. Lineage: Eukaryota; Metazoa; Platyhelminthes; Trematoda; Strigeidida; Schistosomatidae.
AUCUAGCUGAAGAGUCCCAAAUACGACGAAAUUUGCAUCAUAGAU